UUCUUAAAUCUUUUAAUGUUCUUUAUUAAUACGUAAAUAAUAAACAUGUGGGAUCCAUUGCAAUAUUUUCUAAGACAUGCAAUACAUGCACAACUACAUCGCUUUCAGAAUAGCUCCUUCUUUAUAAGAAUGGUUGCAAUCUUCUGAAUCUUGUCCUCUUUCCAAAUAAAUUCCAGUAGUAGUGGUUUGUAGGAUUUGAAUAUGGGGUAUUAUAUCUACAUUGAUUGAACUGGUAGGUAUUUUAUAUGACAUAAUUUAAAUGUUUUUGUGAUAAAUAUUAAGUCUAUUUAUACUCUGGGAAGGAGAAAGACACUCUGAGUGUAAUUUUAUAGAAUAUUCAUAAGAUGAGUUAAAUCAGAUUUUUGACAGCUCUUUUUAUGGAUUUUAUUUAAAUUACAAGUGUUUUUAACUGUUUUCCAGAUGCAAUUAUCACAGACCACAGAUUCACGUUCUUUAUAACCCUGGGGAGAAAUCACACAAUUACAUAGUCAGAGAUUUAAACUGAAACAAAUUCUUAAAUACAAAUUGUCUAUUAUAUGAAUAGUAUGUAAAUAAUUAGAAUUUUACUAAAGAAGGCAAAAAGCACCAGACAUACUUCUGACCUCUUUAUACAACCAGUCACUGAAUUUAAAAUGCUAAUUUCCACUGGCUGUGCUUCAAAAAUGAUGUACAUUGAACACAAUACUAAUUAUUUAAGAUUUCAAUGAAUAUUGAAAGAAGGCAGAAAGAGAAGAUUUUGUGCCUUUAAAUGUGUUUUUAAUCUGCCUUUCAAGAGAGGUAUUUAUUUACAAAUAAAACACUUUAUUGCUUAUCUUGUAAACACAUAUUUACAGUGGAUAAAGAGCUUUCAGGAAAAUUGUUAAUGUAAGUAAUGUUAAACACAUCCAUCAGGGUUCAUAAAGUAUUUUGUGAUAUACCGGCUGCAACCUAGAAAAUGAUGUUUCUGGCCUGGCAAGUUGGCCAUUGCCUAUAAUCCCAAUGGUUUGGAAGGCCCAGGCAGGAGGAUCACUUGAAGCCAGGAGUCGAAGACCAGGAUAGGCAACAUAGUGAGAGCCCAUCCUGUAAGAUGGAUGUUCCAAAGGGGUUGCUCCAUUGCCGAUGCAGAGGAUCCUGAGGUUUUAAGUCAUAAAGAGUGUGCUUCAAAAUCACCUACCGGGCUUGUUUAAAGUGCAGAUUCCUUGGCUUCAACCCACAUCCACCAAACAGAAUCACAGUAGAUGGGCUGUAAACAUUUGCUUUUUAAACAAGCUCCUCAGGACAAACUGAUGUGCCCAAAGUUUGGGAAUGAAUGCUUUUGCUUCUUUUUCAAGUUUCUCAACCCCCUAAGCUGACAGUCUUACACAAUGAACAAAGCUGGUCAAACUGGUUAAUAAAAUGUUAAAAUAUAGCAAUUAGUAAAUAACAGCUUUCCUGACACCCAACUUUCACUGUCAGUGCAAAUGCCAAAAUGACCACCUAAUCUCUCCAAGUCCUAGCCUGGGGCACUUCUACUUCCCCAUAUUCAGCAGCUGAAACAAUAACACCUGGGAGAGCAGGUGCUCAGAACUUCAUUGCAGUGCUGUAGCUGGUCUGUUUUCUGUUUGGUUAGUCAACAUGCCCCAGGGAUCGUUAGCUGUUUUUACCGUUCUCCUGGAUCCCUGUGGAUUUCUAAUGGGCAAACUUUUUAAAAGUACAAAUUCUCAGACUCUAAGAUGCUGGAGAAUCUGAUUUAGCAAGUCUGGGCAUGUUACCAUUUAUCUAUGUAGUCCCAAAAGCUUCCCAGGUGACUUUGGAGAUCACCUAGGUUUGGAAACCAAAACCUUCCUACUCAAAGUGUGGUCUGGAGACCAGCAUCACCAGCAUCAGCUGAGAGCUUGUUAGAAAUGUAGAAUCUUAGCACCUCCACCUCACUCACACUGACCAAAUCAGAAUCUGCAUUUCAAAAAGGUGUCCAAGUGAUUCAUGCACACUAACUAAUACGGUUUGGUUCUGUGUCUUCACCCAAAUCUCACCUUGAAUUGUAAUCCCCAUAAUUCCCACAUGUUAG
Molecule: long non-coding RNA, 2026 nt
Filed under: Homo sapiens (human)
Lineage: Eukaryota; Metazoa; Chordata; Mammalia; Primates; Hominidae
Description: HSALNT0214291
Source: RNAcentral